CACGUAGGGCGCAAGCGUUGUCCGGAAUUAUUGGGCGUAAAGAGCUCGUAGGCGGUCUGUUGCGUCCGCUGUGAAAACUCGGGGCUUAACCCCGAGCCUGCAGUGGAUACGGGCAGACUAGAGGUAGGUAGGGGAGAAUGGAAUUCCCGGUGUAGCGGUGAAAUGCGUAGAUAUCGUGAGGAAGACCAGUGGCGAAGGCGGGUCUCUGGACAGUUCCUGACGCUGAGGCGCGAAGGCCAGGGGAGCAAACGGG
This 253-nucleotide ribosomal RNA is filed under the name uncultured prokaryote. Its description in RNAcentral is "partial 16S ribosomal RNA". It matches the Rfam family "Bacterial small subunit ribosomal RNA", at positions 524 to 776 of the family's 1533-position model. The record is from RNAcentral.